This 771-nucleotide ribosomal RNA is filed under the name uncultured bacterium. Its description in RNAcentral is "bacterial SSU rRNA". It matches the Rfam family "Bacterial small subunit ribosomal RNA", at positions 8 to 796 of the family's 1533-position model. The record is from RNAcentral.
AGAGUUUGAUCCUGGCUCAGGACGAACGCUGGCGGCGUGCUUAACACAUGCAAGUCGAACGAUGAAGCCCUUCGGGGUGGAUUAGUGGCGAACGGGUGAGUAACACGUGGGUAACCUGCCCUUGGCUUUGGGAUAAGCCCUGGAAACGGGGUCUAAUACCGGAUAUGACUGACUCUCGCAUGGGGGUUGGUGGAAAGUUCCGGCGGCCAGGGAUGGGCCCGCGGCCUAUCAGCUUGUUGGUGGGGUGAUGGCCUACCAAGGCGACGACGGGUAGCCGGCCUGAGAGGGCGACCGGCCACACUGGGACUGAGACACGGCCCAGACUCCUACGGGAGGCAGCAGUGGGGAAUAUUGCACAAUGGGCGAAAGCCUGAUGCAGCGACGCCGCGUGAGGGAUGACGGCCUUCGGGUUGUAAACCUCUUUCGACAGGGACGAAGCGUAAGUGACGGUACCUGUAGAAGAAGCACCGGCUAACUACGUGCCAGCAGCCGCGGUAAUACGUAGGGUGCGAGCGUUGUCCGGAAUUAUUGGGCGUAAAGAGCUCGUAGGCGGUUUGUCGCGUCGACUGUGAAAACUGGGGGCUUAACUCUCAGCUUGCAGUCGAUACGGGCAGACUUGAGUUCGGUAGGGGAGACUGGAAUUCCUGGUGUAGCGGUGAAAUGCGCAGAUAUCAGGAGGAACACCGGUGGCGAAGGCGGGUCUCUGGGCCGAUACUGACGCUGAGGAGCGAAAGCGUGGGGAGCGAACAGGAUUAGAUACCCUAGUAGUCC